AUUGAACGCUGGCGGCAGGCCUAACACAUGCCAGUCGAGCGGAUGAAGGGAGCUUGCUCCUGGAUUCAGCGGCGGACGGGUGAGUAAUGCCUAGGAAUCUGCCUGGUAGUGGGGGAUAACGUCCGGAAACGGGCGCUAAUACCGCAUACGUCCUGAGGGAGAAAGUGGGGGAUCUUCGGACCUCACGCUAUCAGAUGAGCCUAGGUCGGGUUAGCUAGUUGGUGGGGUAAAGGCCUACCAAGGCGACGAUCCGUAACUGGUCUGAGAGGAUGAUCAGUCACACUGGAACUGAGACACGGUCCAGACUCCUACGGGAGGCAGCAGUGGGGAAUAUUGGACAAUGGGCGAAAGCCUGAUCCAGCCAUGCCGCGUGUGUGAAGAAGGUCUUCGGAUUGUAAAGCACUUUAAGUUGGGAGGAAGGGCAGUAAGUUAAUACCUUGCUGUUUUGACGUUACCAACAGAAUAAGCACCGGCUAACUUCGUG
This 484-nucleotide ribosomal RNA is filed under the name uncultured bacterium. RNAcentral's name for it is "partial 16S ribosomal RNA". It matches the Rfam family "Bacterial small subunit ribosomal RNA", at positions 30 to 507 of the family's 1533-position model. The record is from RNAcentral.